UACAGAGGUGGCAAGCGUUGUUCGGAAUUACUGGGCGUAAAGGGCUCGUAGGCGGCCAACUAAGUCAGACGUGAAAUCCCUCGGCUUAACCGGGGAACUGCAUCUGAUACUGGAUGGCUUGAGUUCGGGAGGGGGAUGUGGAAUUCCAGGUGUAGCGGUGAAAUGCGUAGAUAUCUGGGGGAACACCGGUGGCGAAGGCGGCAUCCUGGACCGACACUGACGCUGAGGAGCGAAAGCCAGGGGAGCAAACGGG
RNAcentral lists this ribosomal RNA (253 nucleotides) under uncultured bacterium. RNAcentral describes it as "partial 16S ribosomal RNA". It matches the Rfam family "Bacterial small subunit ribosomal RNA", at positions 524 to 776 of the family's 1533-position model. The record is from RNAcentral.